RNAcentral lists this ribosomal RNA (547 nucleotides) under Salmonella enterica. RNAcentral's name for it is "partial 23S ribosomal RNA". It matches the Rfam family "Bacterial large subunit ribosomal RNA", at positions 711 to 1254 of the family's 2925-position model. The record is from RNAcentral. RNAcentral also lists the same sequence under 1 other name. Lineage: Bacteria; Pseudomonadati; Pseudomonadota; Gammaproteobacteria; Enterobacterales; Enterobacteriaceae.
AGACCCGAAACCCGGUGAUCUAGCCAUGGGCAGGUUGAAGGUUGGGUAACACUAACUGGAGGACCGAACCGACUAAUGUUGAAAAAUUAGCGGAUGACCUGUGGCUGGGGGUGAAAGGCCAAUCAAACCGGGAGAUAGCUGGUUCUCCCCGAAAGCUAUUUAGGUAGCGCCUCGUGAAUUCAUCUCCGGGGGUAGAGCACUGUUUCGGCUAGGGGGCCAUCCCGGCUUACCAACCCGAUGCAAACUGCGAAUACCGGAGAAUGUUAUCACGGGAGACACACGGCGGGUGCUAACGUCCGUCGUGAAGAGGGAAACAACCCAGACCGCCAGCUAAGGUCCCAAAGUCAUGGUUAAGUGGGAAACGAUGUGGGAAGGCCCAGACAGCCAGGAUGUUGGCUUAGAAGCAGCCAUCAUUUAAAGAAAGCGUAAUAGCUCACUGGUCGAGUCGGCCUGCGCGGAAGAUGUAACGGGGCUAAACCAUGCACCGAAGCUGCGGCAGCGACACUCAGGUGUUGUUGGGUAGGGGAGCGUUCUGUAAGCCUGUGAA